AGGAGAUGAAGAAGAAAGAAAUUGUGAGGUGUGUGGAAGCAAGCAAUAUGCAUGGAGGGAAAUUCUGUAGCCCAACAUGUUAGGAAAAGAAGGAAAAUGAAGAUUUAACAAAUGUCCCAUCUUUUAACAUCUCUGCCUUUCUUUCUUCCACAUUCCUCUUUUUUUUUUUUUUUUUUUAAAGAAUAAUUGGAAUGAAUAUAUUUUAUGGACCAAUCAAUUCUCAUCUCAGGCCUCCAAAUACUAGCAGCUACUUCAAGUAUUAUUGUUAAUGGGUUUCCAUCAUUUCAUUUGGUUGUAUCCACUUGGGUUUUGGGACCACUGGUUUGCUCAUCUCUCACACCAUAAAUUUUUUAGCUCUUCUCUUCGACUUAUCAAUUCCAUCCAUCUCUACGAGUAUUUGAGCAGUAGUUUUCAUGGCCCAGGUUGCCAAAUCUGAGAAUCCAACGGCUGCAUUUCCGCAUUAAUGGUGAGACAAGUAAAUGUGUCCAAAACAUUAGCUUGCUCAUUUGUUGGGGACCAGAUUUUUUAUUUUGCCUUCUUUUAUUGUGAUAUAAUUCACGAGAACCUGACACUGAUGUCCGAGGUGAAAGCCCCAUCUCUGUAGCCUAAGGCAGACUGUUUCAUUUACAUUUAAAGAACAAGUUUACUAGGCUUGCUCUCAUUUAUUGGCCACUCACUCUGCGUCAGGAAUCACAUCUUUUUUUUUUUGUCUUUUUUAUUUUUCUUUUACUGCGAUCUCCUUAUCAUCUCACGGUCAUGCAACUUCAUCAAUUAUUCCGCACCAUAUGCAACCAGCCUGGACCUGGACCCCCUAAUUCUUACAAGGACAUUAAUAUAUUUACGCUUUCUGGGCCAUUUCCUUGUGUUGGUUAUUGGGCCAAGCCCACAGAAAGCUUUGGAUGGUAGGUGAAAGAGGAAGAGUAGUUGUAGGCUUGCAGGUUUUGAAUUGUAGGUUUCAACUGAAAAUUAUAAAGAAAUGUUGGUCAGGUUUUUCUUUUUAGAUACUCUCACAUUUCUUCGCAAACACUGCGAGUUCCUUAGGUUUAUUAAAGUAUCUUCACGCGAUCAUCUGCUCUGAUUUUCCCAGAUAUCUUCGUUUCAAGUUAAGGAACCUUUGUGUGUCCAUUUCAGUAGAGCAAGAACUAGGAAAUGCAUCCUGGUGGACCAGGGGGACCUGGACCUGGAGGGCCUGGAUGGGGUCCUGGACCCGGGGGGCCUGGCUGGGGUCCUGGACCCGGAGGACCUGGCUGGGGUCCUGGACCCGGAGGACUUGGCUGGGGUCCGGGACUUGGAGGGCCUGGUUGGGGUGGACCAGGAGCUUGGGGUGCUGGACCUGGAGGAUUUUUUGAUGGUUUAUGCGGCAUGGUAUCUUCUUUGUUCUACUGCUUGUGCUGUUGUUGGUUGAUACAGGAUUGCUUUGGUGGACCUCGCGGUCCAUAUGGCCCACCUGGUCCUGGCGGACCCCCACCAUUCUGAUGCUCUGCUCAUCCAUUCAGUCAUGGAAUAACGGUUCCCUUGUCCUGUUGAAACUUUCUCAGAAGCACUUUGAUUUCUUUUACGUUGUCUUAAUUUGUUGUUUACCUUACAGCUUCAAGGAUGCCUAUUUCUCGUCUCCACUUCAUUCAUAAGGGUUAAAGCGUAUGAACAUCAUGUUUAUUGCUACUAAUUCUGAACAAAUCAGCAUCUGAAUCUGUUUUACAGAUUGUAUGAAUUGUUUUAGAAAUUAAUGGCCGUUCCUUUUAUGACAUCAAA
Manihot esculenta (cassava) is the source of this 1752-nucleotide long non-coding RNA. RefSeq lists it as uncharacterized. The record is from RefSeq and is a predicted model, not a curated record. The transcript is spliced from 2 exons. NCBI's taxonomy places the organism in Eukaryota, Viridiplantae, Streptophyta, Magnoliopsida, Malpighiales, Euphorbiaceae.